UACGAAGGGGGCUAGCGUUGCUCGGAAUCACUGGGCGUAAAGGGUGCGUAGGCGGGUCUUUAAGUCAGGGGUGAAAUCCUGGAGCUCAACUCCAGAACUGCCUUUGAUACUGAAGAUCUUGAGUUCGGGAGAGGUGAGUGGAACUGCGAGUGUAGAGGUGAAAUUCGUAGAUAUUCGCAAGAACACCAGUGGCGAAGGCGGCUCACUGGGCCCGAUACUGACGCUGAGGCACGAAAGCGUGGGGAGCAAACAG
This 253-nucleotide ribosomal RNA is filed under the name uncultured bacterium. Its description in RNAcentral is "partial 16S ribosomal RNA". It matches the Rfam family "Bacterial small subunit ribosomal RNA", at positions 524 to 775 of the family's 1533-position model. The record is from RNAcentral.